GAUGAACGCUGGCGGCGUGCCUAAUACAUGCAAGUCGAGCGAACAGAUAAGGAGCUUGCUCCUUUGACGUUAGCGGCGGACGGGUGAGUAACACGUGGAUAACCUACCUAUAAGACUGGGAUAACUUCGGGAAACCGGAGCUAAUACCGGAUAACAUAUUGAACCGCAUGGUUCAAUAGUGAAAGGCGGCUUUGCUGUCACUUAUAGAUGGAUCCGCGCCGUAUUAGCUAGUUGGUAAGGUAACGGCUUACCAAGGCAACGAUACGUAGCCGACCUGAGAGGGUGAUCGGCCACACUGGAACUGAGACACGGUCCAGACUCCUACGGGAGGCAGCAGUAGGGAAUCUUCCGCAAUGGGCGAAAGCCUGACGGAGCAACGCCGCGUGAGUGAUGAAGGUCUUCGGAUCGUAAAACUCUGUUAUCAGGGAAGAACAAAUGUGUAAGUAACUGUGCACAUCUUGACGGUACCUGAUCAGAAAGCCACGGCUAACUACGUGCCAGCAGCCGCGGUAAUACGUAGGUGGCAAGCGUUAUCCGGAAUUAUUGGGCGUAAAGCGCGCGUAGGCGGUUUUUUAGUCUGAUGUGAAAGCCCACGGCUCAACCGUGGAGGGUCAUUGGAAACUGGAAAACUUGAGUGCGGAAGAGGAAAGUGGAAUUCCAUGUGUAGCGGUGAAAUGCGCAGAGAUAUGGAGGAACACCAGUGGCGAAGGCGACUUUCUGGUCUGUAACUGACGCUGAUGUGCGAAAGCGUGGGGAUCAAACAGGAUUAGAUACCCUGGUAGUCCACGCCGUAAACGAUGAGUGCUAAGUGUUAGGGGGUUUCCGCCCCUUAGUGCUGCAGCUAACGCAUUAAGCACUCCGCCUGGGGAGUACGACCGCAAGGUUGAAACUCAAAGGAAUUGACGGGGACCCGCACAAGCGGUGGAGCAUGUGGUUUAAUUCGAAGCAACGCGAAGAACCUUACCAAAUCUUGACAUCCUCUGACCGCUCUAGAGAUAGAGUCUUCCCCUUCGGGGGACAAAGUGACAGGUGGUGCAUGGUUGUCGUCAGCUCGUGUCGUGAGAUGUUGGGUUAAGUCCCGCAACGAGCGCAACCCUUAAGCUUAGUUGCCAUCAUUAAGUUGGGCACUCUAAGUUGACUGCCGGUGACAAACCGGAGGAAGGUGGGGAUGACGUCAAAUCAUCAUGCCCCUUAUGAUUUGGGCUACACACGUGCUACAAUGGACAAUACAAAGGGCAGCUAAACCGCGAGGUCAAGCAAAUCCCAUAAAGUUGUUCUCAGUUCGGAUUGUAGUCUGCAACUCGACUACAUGAAGCUGGAAUCGCUAGUAAUCGUAGAUCAGCAUGCUACGGUGAAUACGUUCCCGGGUCU
This 1371-nucleotide ribosomal RNA is filed under the name uncultured bacterium. RNAcentral describes it as "bacterial SSU rRNA". It matches the Rfam family "Bacterial small subunit ribosomal RNA", at positions 28 to 1381 of the family's 1533-position model. The record is from RNAcentral.